RNAcentral lists this ribosomal RNA (253 nucleotides) under uncultured bacterium. RNAcentral's name for it is "partial 16S ribosomal RNA". It matches the Rfam family "Bacterial small subunit ribosomal RNA", at positions 524 to 776 of the family's 1533-position model. The record is from RNAcentral. RNAcentral also lists the same sequence under 1 other name.
UACGAAGGGUGCAAGCGUUAAUCGGAAUUACUGGGCGUAAAGCGUGCGUAGGCGGUUUCUUAAGUCUGCUGUGAAAUCCCCGGGCUCAACCUGGGAAUGGCAGUGGAUACUGGGAGGCUAGAGUGUGUCAGAGGGUGGUGGAAUUCCCGGUGUAGCGGUGAAAUGCGUAGAGAUCGGGAGGAACAUCAGUGGCGAAGGCGGCCACCUGGGACAACACUGACGCUGAGGCACGAAAGCGUGGGGAGCAAACAGG